GUUGUAACAUCAACUACAGCAACAGCACUGACCCCAGACACCACAGCAAACUCUCUGAAACCAGUGAUUGUGAUUGUUGUUGCCGCUUCAUUCACUCUUCUCCUUCUGGCUCUUAUUCUCUGGGUGAUUCGUAAAAAACGAGCAGGGAACAGCAGAGGGACUGGUGACUCUGUGGAGCAGACAGAUGACGUGACUUAUACUGAAGUCACUGCGUACAGUAAAAAACAAAGCAAAAAGUACAAGGUUCGCUGUGAUGAUAGAGUGACGUAUGCUUCCAUCAGAGGAGCAAAAGCUGGAGCUCAGGAGAACUGCAGUGAACUUUAUGCCUCUGUGAACAAGAACACACCAGUCAAAUAAUUAUACAAAACACACAUCAGCAGAGGAAUA
Molecule: non-coding RNA, 387 nt
Organism: Pimephales promelas (fathead minnow)
Lineage: Eukaryota; Metazoa; Chordata; Actinopteri; Cypriniformes; Leuciscidae
Source: RefSeq, a predicted model, not a curated record